AUGCAACAUAUUUCCCUUCUGUUUGUUCCAGGCGCUGUGGGCCCCGUUCCCUUCCUCCCCGCGGAAGUAAAGGGACCCUGGCACCCACCGAGGCCGACGGUCAUGAGGGCAGUUUUGACGGCAAGGGCAGAAACGAGCAAGACCCAGGGGCUCAGGCGGGAACAGCUGCUCCCUUCUGCUGGGGCUGAAAAACACAAGGCAAGAGUGGAAAUCCCCGGCCCAGAGUCGGGGAGCAGGACAAUCCAAGGGGCUGCGUGCCCUGACAGCCUGCUGAUAACCCUGUCCCAAGGCCUGGCAGGUCCCGCAGGCUCUGUAACCUGCUCGUGCUGUCUGUCACUGGCAGUGGGUUACACCUGCAGCGUAGGGCAACACGGGGACUGCCCUCUUGCUUCAUGUCAAAAGCCAUACCUGCGCUCUUCCCAAGCUGCACUACUUUUCUUCUCCCGUCACACCUCUUUCCUGACCUGCACACCUUCCUGGUUGCCCUCCCUUCCCCCUGUGUUUCACUGAAUGCUCUUUCUCUACCUCCCUCUGUACUGGGUCUGGCUGGGAUGUUCACUUUCCCUGCAGCAGCCCAUACAGUGCUGUGCUCUCCGCUUGUAGCUGGAACAGCAGUGGUAUCACAUGAGUGUUGUGUCUGCUGCUGAGCAGUGCUGGCACAGCAUCGGGCCUCUCUCUAACCCUCCUAGGGGUGGGCAAAAAAGUGGGAAGAGAAACAUCACCAGGGCAGCUGACCUAAACCAACCAAAGGGAUAUUCCAUACCAUCUGAUGUCACACUCAGCAAUAAAAGGUGGAAUCAGGAAGAAGAGGGGAGGGCUGGGCUCUCGUGAAAAUGUCGGUCCUCCUCCCGAACACUGGCUAAGUGCUUUGAGGCCCUGCUUCAAGGACGUGGUCUAACAUCGCCCAUUUGUGGGAAGUAGAGAGUAAUUUCUUUCCUCUACACUUCCACAUAGCCUUCAUUAGUUUUAUUUGUUUGUUUUCCUCCCUUUUUUUCCUUUCCCCCUCCCUUUUCCCCUUUUCUUUUUUUUUCUUUUAUUUAAAUUGUUUUGUUCUUAAGAAUCUUUCUAUUAUUACUAUUAUUAUUAUUAUUAUUAUUAUUAUUAUUAUUAUUAUUUAAUUAUAUUAUCCUUAUCUCAACCGGUGAUUUGUUCUUUGCUUUACUUCUUCCCCUCCUCUUCUAAGAAGGGGGAGUGAGAGAGUGGUGGUGUUUAGCCGCCCAGCACAGUAAAAAUACCAACCUUCCUCCUCACCUCUCUCUGGAGCAUCUUUCUCUCAGCUACCCAACUCUUAGUUGGGCUCUGGCCCCCAGCAUCUUUUACGCAACAGCGAGUAGUCACUUACUCAAAGGACUGACAGUCCAGCUCGGUGUCUGGCAGCAGACACACAGAAGAGAUGGUUUCUACCCCGAGAAUGGACUCUGGGUCUUUCUCCUGGUACACAGCCAGCCACGGUACCAUGCCCUUUAUAUAUCCCAGCCCCGUAUUUUCCCCCACCUUCUACUUCUCCUAGAGGAGGGCAGAAAGGAAGGCUUUAUGGUUACCUGCAGUCCCAGGACUGACUCUCUCUUGCUGGUUCAUUAUCACUGCCACAGCAUCGCUCUUCACCAAGAAUCCGUCCACGUUACCAGUACGGCCACAAGCACAGCCCUCCUGCAGGAGGAGGAGCUAGGGCAGCUCCCACAGUGCCGGGCAGUCUGCACGGAACUGAAUGUGAUGUGCAGACAGAGUCAUAGCUGGGGUAUUCCCCACAGCACAUGGAGAUGACAAAUUUUCAUCGUUUCCUUGUCAGGACGUUUCACAAGAGGCUUGUUGCAAAAAAGAAAC
Molecule: long non-coding RNA, 1824 nt
Filed under: Anas platyrhynchos (mallard)
Lineage: Eukaryota; Metazoa; Chordata; Aves; Anseriformes; Anatidae
Description: lncRNA (ENSAPLG00020004329.1)
Source: RNAcentral